GAAACUGAUUUUUUUCUUUGCUUCUAUGACAGGUAUUCGCUAACAAAAGCCUUCUGCAUCGCUUUUGUGCUGACAUUCUUCAGUGCAUUUGAUGUACCUGUAUUUUGGCCAAUUUUGUUGUUCUAUUGGGUUGUACUAUUCAUUUCGACAAUGAAGAGGCAGAUAAUGCACAUGAUCAAAUAUAGAUAUGUCCCCUUCACAUUUGGCAAACAGCGUUACAGCGGGAAGAAAGAAACAGUCAUCGAUGAAGCAGAUGUUUAAGGUUCAAAGUAGAUCAAGGCAUUUUAUGAUAAGAACAUGGAUCUGUUUUGGGUAACUGAUUUGGCUAGACAGAACUAUCUUCUCCAUAAAAAGGUUUCUAGAUUGGAACGAGCCACGCCACCGACAUAUAAUCAUCAAUCAACUGUUAGAUUUUAAAACUCUAGCUUUUCUCUUAGUAGCAAUAUGUACUUAUUUUUGUCUUGAUGGGUAAGUAGCUCCUGAAUGUUUAUAUUCAUUUUUGAGCUGCUCCAACCUUGCGUGGACAACUGUUAUUCAAGUUCUGGUAGAUGCCGAGUCUGCAGUGUACUCGGGAUAAAUGUUUAGUGAAAUAUUGGGGAUAUCUUAUUGUUCGCUUUUACUGCUUCCUGUCACCCCCCAACGUAGGUGAGGUGGACAGGCACGCAGUACCUCAUUUA
Nicotiana tabacum (common tobacco) is the source of this 677-nucleotide non-coding RNA. The record is from RefSeq and is a predicted model, not a curated record. Lineage: Eukaryota; Viridiplantae; Streptophyta; Magnoliopsida; Solanales; Solanaceae.